CCUACGGGAGGCAGCAGUGAGGAAUAUUGGUCAAUGGACGAGAGUCUGAACCAGCCAAGUAGCGUGAAGGAUGACUGCCCUAUGGGUUGUAAACUUCUUUUAUAUGGGAAUAAAACGUUCCACGUGUGGGAUUUUGUAUGUACCAUAUGAAUAAGGAUCGGCUAACCCCGUGCCAGCAGCCGCGGUAAUACGGAGGAUCCGAGCGUUAUCCGGAUUUAUUGGGUUUAAAGGGAGCGUAGGUGGAUUGUUAAGUCAGUUGUGAAAUUUUGGGGCUCAACCGUAGAAUUGCAGUUGAAACUGGCAGUCUUGAGUACAGUAGAGGUGGGCGGAAUUCGUGGUGUAGCGGUGAAAUGCUUAGAUAUCACGAAGAACUCCGAUGGCGAAGGCAGCUCACUGGACUGCAACUGACGCUGAGGCUCGAAAGUGUGGGUAUCAAACAGGAUUAGAUACCCCUGUAGUC
This 460-nucleotide ribosomal RNA is filed under the name uncultured bacterium. Its description in RNAcentral is "partial 16S ribosomal RNA". It matches the Rfam family "Bacterial small subunit ribosomal RNA", at positions 338 to 795 of the family's 1533-position model. The record is from RNAcentral.